GGAGUUGUGGCUCAGUGGUAGAGUGCUUGCCUAGCAUGCAUGAGGCACUGGGUUCGAUCCCCAGCACCAUUU
RNAcentral lists this transfer RNA (72 nucleotides) under Ictidomys tridecemlineatus (thirteen-lined ground squirrel). RNAcentral describes it as "Spermophilus tridecemlineatus (thirteen-lined ground squirrel) tRNA". It matches the Rfam family "tRNA". From Rfam's summary of the family: Transfer RNA (tRNA) molecules are approximately 80 nucleotides in length. Their secondary structure includes four short double-helical elements and three loops (D, anti-codon, and T loops). The record is from Rfam by way of RNAcentral. Lineage: Eukaryota; Metazoa; Chordata; Mammalia; Rodentia; Sciuridae.